CAGCAGCCGCGGUAAUACGAAGGGGGCUAGCGUUGCUCGGAAUUACUGGGCGUAAAGCGUGCGUAGGUGGUGGUUUAAGUCCGUUGUGAAAGCCCUGGGCUCAACCUGGGAAUUGCAGUGGAUACUGGGUCACUAGAGUGUGGUAGAGGAUAGUGGAAUUUCCGGUGUAGCAGUGAAAUGCGUAGAGAUCGGAAGGAACAUCUGUGGCGAAGGCGACUAUCUGGGCCAACACUGACACUGAGGCACGAAAGCGUGGGGAGCAAACAGGAUUAGAGACCCCGGUAGUCCCUGUCUCUUAUAC
Molecule: ribosomal RNA, 301 nt
Filed under: uncultured bacterium
Lineage: Bacteria
Description: partial 16S ribosomal RNA
Rfam family: Bacterial small subunit ribosomal RNA
Source: RNAcentral